UAUAAACUUAUACUCUAAUUAAUGUUAAUUUAGAGUUAUUUUGAUAUUGAUUUUUAAUUUUAGGGUGAAAUCAGAAAUUAUUUUUAUUUAAACUCUAAAUUUUAAGAUUUAGUAAACAAACCAGAUUAGUACCUGGUUAGAUAAAAUUUAAAAGAGCAGGAGUAAAGUUAUAUUUAAACUGUAAGAAUAUUGGCAGGUUUUUAAAUUAUCUUUGGAGGCUGAGUAGUGAUUGAGAGCCCUCAUUUUCAACUUUUUCUUUAGGCGCAUGUAUGAUCGUUUAUUUUAUUCUUAAGGAUUGUAAUUUUAGUCUUUGCUAUAAAAAUAGAUAGAUAUCUGGCUUAUGAGAAAGAUUUAAUUUGGCCUACAAUAAUUUAAUUUUUGGAUUCUAGUUUUAGAGGCUAGAUGAAAUUGUAAAAGACAGUAAGUUGCUUUUAAUGGGUGGCUGAAGUUUAUUUAAAAACGGUACAAAUCAUCCAUCAAUUGCCUAUAAG
This 491-nucleotide non-coding RNA is filed under the name Anisakis pegreffii. The record is from RNAcentral. Lineage: Eukaryota; Metazoa; Nematoda; Chromadorea; Rhabditida; Anisakidae.